GAUUAGAUAAUACACAAUUAGAAAUUGAUGGAGAAAAUUACAAUAAUUUAAAAGAAAAAGAAUUUAAAUACAAAAAAAAACAUGAGGACACAUGUCAACAAACCCCCCUUCCACAUGUCAUAAGAAGGGAAAAAGCCAACUUUAUAUAUAAAGAUGUUCUUCAUUCUUACCAUAAAUAAAAAUUACGAAAUUGCCUAAUGUGACAAAAUUAUAUAUGAAAAUUAAUGAUUUUGAAUAAAAAAAUAUUUGAUAAAAAUUAGUGUAACCUCUAUCGUAUUUGUUUAAUUUAAAAUUAAUAAAAUUAAUGAAACAACCAAAUUAA
Molecule: long non-coding RNA, 322 nt
Filed under: Brassica napus (rape)
Lineage: Eukaryota; Viridiplantae; Streptophyta; Magnoliopsida; Brassicales; Brassicaceae
Description: long non-coding RNA (BNAP_LNC021774)
Source: RNAcentral